CAGAGGUCCCAAGCGUUGUUCGGAUUUACUGGGCGUAAAGGGAGCGUAGGUGGCAUUCUAAGUCUGAUGUGAAAGCUCUGAGCUUAACUCAGAAAUGGCAUUAGAUACUAGUUUGCUCGAGGAUUGGAGGGGAGAUUGGAAUACUUGGUGUAGCAGUGAAAUGCGUAGAUAUCAAGUGGAACACCAGUGGCGAAGGCGAAUCUCUGGACAAUUCCUGACACUGAUGCUCGAAAGCUAGGGGAGCAAACGGGAUUAGAUACCCCGGUAGUCCUAGCUGUAAACGGUGCACGCUUGCUGUAGGUGGAAUCGACCCCGCCUGUAGCGAAGCUAACGCGUUAAGCGUGCCGCCUGGGAAGUACGGUCGCAAGAUUA
This 372-nucleotide ribosomal RNA is filed under the name uncultured organism. RNAcentral's name for it is "bacterial SSU rRNA". It matches the Rfam family "Bacterial small subunit ribosomal RNA", at positions 526 to 896 of the family's 1533-position model. The record is from RNAcentral.